ACUGCAGUGAUGAGUUGUUAACAUGUUAAAAGUGUUACUAUGUGUAACUUCUUUGAUGAAAUAUUCUUGUUACGCUUGGCUUCUGAGCAGU
Impatiens glandulifera is the source of this 91-nucleotide small nucleolar RNA. RefSeq annotates it as small nucleolar RNA R24. The record is from RefSeq and is a predicted model, not a curated record. Lineage: Eukaryota; Viridiplantae; Streptophyta; Magnoliopsida; Ericales; Balsaminaceae. The transcript has a single exon.